GGCAAAUAUAGCAAAAAACAGGAAAUUUCCUAAGCUCACACGAAGCACUGCCUGCAUUUGAAACCAUUCCUCUGGUUGUGCCUCAGUUUUUAUCCAUGGAAUCUUCUCCAUCAGAGGAGCUCCAAACUCUCUGAGAAUCCAUGAAACGACCAAGGAGACGCCGAAAAGGCCACAGUAAGCAAGUCUAGCGGAGCUUCUUGAGAUGCUGGCGGCAACGGAGGAGCAGAGACCGCACGUGAGAGAUGCACAGCACGAAAACAAGCAGGACAUUGCUUAGCUCUUCUUGACCUCGAGAAUUAUGGAUGAUGUUCUUCUGCUUGUUCUUGUCUUGCAGAGAUGAGAGAAG
This 346-nucleotide unclassified non-coding RNA is filed under the name Hevea brasiliensis (rubber tree). The record is from RNAcentral. Lineage: Eukaryota; Viridiplantae; Streptophyta; Magnoliopsida; Malpighiales; Euphorbiaceae.